AAAAGGAAUCAAAUUAAACAAUCAAUCAAAUGAGAAAAUAAAUUAAAAAAAGGAUUGAAUCAAAAAAGGAUUAAAGUAAUUAAAUUGCUCAUCCC
Molecule: ribosomal RNA, 95 nt
Filed under: Eutreptiella gymnastica
Lineage: Eukaryota; Euglenozoa; Euglenophyceae; Eutreptiales; Eutreptiaceae
Description: partial Trypanosomatid mitochondrial large subunit ribosomal RNA
Source: RNAcentral